RNAcentral lists this ribosomal RNA (485 nucleotides) under uncultured bacterium. RNAcentral describes it as "bacterial SSU rRNA". It matches the Rfam family "Bacterial small subunit ribosomal RNA", at positions 897 to 1382 of the family's 1533-position model. The record is from RNAcentral.
AAACUCAAAUGAAUUGACGGGGACCCGCACAAGCGGUGGAGCAUGUGGUUUAAUUCGACGCAACGCGAAGAACCUUACCUAGGCUUGACAUGCUGGCGAAAACCGUGGAAACACGGUCCUCCCGCAAGGGACGCUAGUACAGGUGGUGCAUGGCUGUCGUCAGCUCGUGUCGUGAGAUGUUGGGUUAAGUCCCGCAACGAGCGCAACCCUUACCCUUAGUUGUUUUCCCGAAAGGAUUACCCUCUAAGGGGACUGCCCCGGACAACGGGGAGGAAGGUGGGGAUGACGUCAAGUCCGCAUGCUCCUUACGUCUAGGGCUACACACGUCCUACAAUGGGGUCGACAGUGGGAUGCAAAGCCGCGAGGUGGAGCCAAUCCCCAAACGGCCUCUCAGUUCGGAUAGUAGUCUGCAACUCGACUCCACGAAGUUGGAAUCGCUAGUAAUCGCGGAUCAGCACGCCGCGGUGAAUACGUUCCCGGGCCUU